AUGGGGACUUUGCACAAGGCCACCUUCGUUCUCCUCAUGCUCUGCUUGUCAGCAUUGGGGAGAGCGGAAUAUCUCAAGUACAAGGACCCGAAGCAGCCCGUCGGCGCCCGCAUCAAGGAUCUGCUCGGACGGAUGACCCUCGCGGAGAAGAUCGGCCAGAUGACGCAGAUCGAGAGGAUAAACGCCACCGCGGAGGUGCUAUCAAAAUACUUCAUAGGUAGCAUCCUGAGUAGCGGCGGCAGCCCGCCUUUUCCCCGAGCGUCUGCUGAGGAUUGGGCUUCAAUGGUGGAUGAAAUGCAAAAGGCCGCCCUCUCUACCCGCCUAGGCAUUCCGAUGAUCUACGGCAUUGACGCUGUGCAUGGUCACAAUAACGUCUACAAAGCUACCAUCUUCCCUCAUAACGUUGGUCUCGGAGCUACCAGGGACCCUAUGCUGGUCAAGAGGAUAGGAGAAGCAACUGCUCUUGAAGUUAGAGCUACCGGGAUUCCAUACGUCUUUGCUCCAUGUAUUGCGGUAAUAGAUAAUACAUGUUUGUAG
This 537-nucleotide ribosomal RNA is filed under the name Triticum aestivum (bread wheat). Its description in RNAcentral is "partial small subunit ribosomal RNA". Lineage: Eukaryota; Viridiplantae; Streptophyta; Magnoliopsida; Poales; Poaceae. The record is from RNAcentral.